This 1325-nucleotide ribosomal RNA is filed under the name metagenome. RNAcentral's name for it is "SSU rRNA". It matches the Rfam family "Eukaryotic small subunit ribosomal RNA", at positions 1 to 1360 of the family's 1831-position model. The record is from RNAcentral.
UCUGGUUGAUCCUGCCAGUAGUCAUAUGCUUGUCUCAAAGAUUAAGCCAUGCAUGUCUAAGUAUAAAUAGUAUACAGUGAAACUGCGAAUGGCUCAUUGAAACAGUUAUAGUUUAUUUGAUAAUUGACAAUUACAUGGAUAACCGUGGUAAUUCUAGAGCUAAUACAUGCUUAAACGCCCGACUUUAUGGAAGGGUGGUAUUUAUUAGACUGAAGCCAAUAUUCCUUGUGUCUAUUGCGGUGAUUCAUAAUAACUGAUCGAAUCUCUUUUUGAGAUAAAUCAUUCAAGUUUCUGCCCUAUCAGCUUUCGAUGGUAGUGUAUUGGACUACCAUGGCAGUAACGGGUAACGAAGAAUUAGGGUUCGAUUUCGGAGAGGGAGCAUGAGAAACGGCUACCACAUCUAAGGAAGGCAGCAGGCGCGUAAAUUACCCAAUCCUGACUCAGGGAGGUAGUGACAAGAAAUAGCAAACCGGGAACCUCAUGGUUUCACGGUAUUGCAAUGAGAACAAUUUAAAACCCUUAGCGAGAAUCAAGUGGAGGACAAGUCUGGUGCCAGCACCCGCGGUAAUUCCAGCUCCACUAGCGUAUAUUAAAGUUGUUGCAGUUAAAAAGCUCGUAGUUGAACCUCUGUCUGGGGCUAGUUUUGGCUUUGGUCAGGCUAGUUCUAGGCAUCCGCCUACAAGACUUAGAGGGCAUUCAGUUGUUCACUAGGAGGGGUAGGCAUUUUACUUUGAAAAAAUUAGAGUGUUUAAGGCAGGCAAUCGCCCGCAUAUAUUAGCAUGGAAUAAUAGAAUAGGACACUUUUCCAUUUCGUUGGUUAUUGGAAUCGUGUAAUGAUUAAUAGGGACAGUUGUGGGCAUUUGCAUUUAAUUGUCAGAGGUGAAAUUCUUGGAUUUAUUAAAGACAAACUAACGCGAAAGCAUUUGCCAAGGAUGUUUUCAUUAAUCAAGAACGAAAGUUAGGGGAUCAAAGACGAUCAGAUACCGUCCUAGUCUUAACUAUAAACUAUUCCGACUCAAUGUUUGACUGGCUUAUAUAACCAGUUGAGCGUUGUAUGAGAAAUCAAAGUCUUUAGGUUCUGGGGGGAGUAUGGUUGCAAAGCUGAAACUUAAAGGAAUUGACGGAAGAGCACAACCAGGAGUGGAUUCUGCGGCUUAAUUUGACUCAACACGGGGAAACUUACCAGGUUAAAACAAUAGUGGGAUUGACAGUUUGAGAGCGCUUUCUUGAUUGGUUGGGUGGUGGUGCAUGGCCGUUCUUAGUUGGUGGAGUGAUUUGUCUGCUUAAUUGCGUUAACGAACGAGACCUUAACCUGCUUACUAGAC